GGGGCUAUGGCGCAGCUGGUAGCGCACUUGCAUGGCAUGCAAGGGGUCAGGGGUUCAAAUCCCCUUAGCUCCACCA
RNAcentral lists this transfer RNA (76 nucleotides) under Candidatus Nanopelagicales bacterium. Its description in RNAcentral is "tRNA-Ala". It matches the Rfam family "tRNA". From Rfam's summary of the family: Transfer RNA (tRNA) molecules are approximately 80 nucleotides in length. Their secondary structure includes four short double-helical elements and three loops (D, anti-codon, and T loops). Lineage: Bacteria; Bacillati; Actinomycetota; Actinomycetes; Candidatus Nanopelagicales. The record is from RNAcentral. RNAcentral also lists the same sequence under 1 other name.